RNAcentral lists this transfer RNA (71 nucleotides) under Bos taurus (domestic cattle). It matches the Rfam family "tRNA". Rfam says of the family: Transfer RNA (tRNA) molecules are approximately 80 nucleotides in length. Their secondary structure includes four short double-helical elements and three loops (D, anti-codon, and T loops). Further hydrogen bonds mediate the characteristic L-shaped molecular structure. tRNAs have two regions of fundamental functional importance: the anti-codon, which is responsible for specific mRNA codon recognition, and the 3' end, to which the tRNAs corresponding amino acid is attached (by aminoacyl-tRNA synthetases). tRNAs cope with the degeneracy of the genetic code in two manners: having more than one tRNA (with a specific anti-codon) for a particular amino acid; and 'wobble' base-pairing, i.e. permitting non-standard base-pairing at the 3rd anti-codon position. The record is from Rfam by way of RNAcentral. RNAcentral also lists the same sequence under 1 other name. Lineage: Eukaryota; Metazoa; Chordata; Mammalia; Artiodactyla; Bovidae.
UUCCCGGUGGUCCACUGGAAGACUCUGUGUUUCCAAUGCAGGGUGUCCGGGUUCAAUCCCUGGUCAGGGAA